This 305-nucleotide ribosomal RNA is filed under the name uncultured bacterium. RNAcentral's name for it is "bacterial SSU rRNA". It matches the Rfam family "Bacterial small subunit ribosomal RNA", at positions 338 to 635 of the family's 1533-position model. The record is from RNAcentral.
CCUACGGGGGGCAGCAGUAGGGAAUUUUCGUCAAUGGGCGCAAGCCUGAACGAGCAAUGCCGCGUGAACGAGGAAGGUCUUCGGAUCGUAAAGUUCUGUUGAAGGGGAAAAAGAGCGGAGAGAGGAAAUGAACUCCGAUUGAUAUUACCCUUCGAGGAAGUCACGGCUAACUACGUGCCAGCAGCCGCGGUAAUACGUAGGUGGCGAGCGUUAUCCGGAAUGAUUGGGCGUAAAGGGUGCGUAGGCGGCACGGUAAGUCUGAUGUGAAAACCCGGGGCUCAACCCCGGGACUGCAUUGGAAACUG